AAACGGUGAGAAGACCGGUGCUUUGGGUAUAAAAGCAGCCGUUAAGAUGGUUGACAACACAGACUGAUUUCAGUUAGUCCAACAGUGCAAGAUUCAUGAUGCAGGCCCUGAAAGCCCUUAUCUUCCUCGCCCUUGUGGCUUGCACCCUGGCCGUGUACACCGGACUUCCAGCCGUUGCCAGCUACGGCGUUCCCGCCGUUGCAAGCUAUGGCGUUCCAGCUGUGGCCAGCUACGGCGUCCAUGCACCACUCACCGCUAGCUACGGUGUGGGCCACGCUGUCCCAGCCUACGGCUACGGUCUUGGUCUAGGCUAUGGCCUUGGCGGCUACAAUUACCCCUACGCUGGAGCAUACCACCUCAAGAAGUGAACAGAUUCUGGCUGAAGUGAACUCUCCAAGCUGACGACCCGACCUCGCCUCCUGGUUUAAGAUUGAAGACUACGGAUAUAUUAGCAUCAUUAUCACGUGAUUUUGAUAGUACAUUACUCGAAUAAAACGCACGGUAUUUUCAAAUA
This is a long non-coding RNA of Ornithodoros turicata, 514 nucleotides long. RefSeq lists it as uncharacterized. Lineage: Eukaryota; Metazoa; Arthropoda; Arachnida; Ixodida; Argasidae. The record is from RefSeq and is a predicted model, not a curated record. The transcript is spliced from 3 exons.